RNAcentral lists this transfer RNA (67 nucleotides) under Synapturanus rabus (Vaupes disc frog). Its description in RNAcentral is "tRNA-Tyr". It matches the Rfam family "tRNA". From Rfam's summary of the family: Transfer RNA (tRNA) molecules are approximately 80 nucleotides in length. The record is from RNAcentral. Lineage: Eukaryota; Metazoa; Chordata; Amphibia; Anura; Microhylidae.
GGCAAGGUGGCUGAGUAAGCGGUGGGUUGUAGCCCCGAUUAUGGGGGUACUAGUCCCUCCCUUGUCA